Molecule: ribosomal RNA, 503 nt
Filed under: uncultured bacterium
Lineage: Bacteria
Description: bacterial SSU rRNA
Rfam family: Bacterial small subunit ribosomal RNA
Source: RNAcentral
GGCUCAGGAUGAACGCUAGCUACAGGCCUAACACAUGCAAGUCGAGGGGCAGCAUGUCGGUAGCUUGCUACCGAUGAUGGCGACCGGCGAAUGGGUGAGUCACGCGUGUCCAACCUGCCCCCCGCCCGGGGAUAGCCCUUGGAAAUGAGGAUUAAUACCCGAUAGGUGCGCAUUCCGCAUGGCGUGCGCAUGAAACGAGGCGGGGGAUGGGGACGCGUCGGAUUAGCUUGACGGCGGGGCAACGGCCCACCGUGGCGACGAUCCGCAGGGGUUCUGAGAGGAAGGUCCCCCACACUGGCACUGAGACACGGGCCAGACUCCUACGGGAGGCAGCAGUGAGGAAUAUUGGUCAAUGGCCGAGAGGCUGAACCAGCCAAGUAGCGUGCAAGGAUGACGGCCCUACGGGUUGUAAACUGCUUUUGCGGGAGGAUAAAGUGCGCUACGUGUAGCGCUUUGCAGGUAUCCCGUGAAUAAGGACCGGCUAAUUCCGUGCCAGCAGCAGC